UUUUAAUAAAUUCCAUGUUUAUUCUGUACUGAAAUGUUCUGUGCUGCGCACAACACUUUCUAUUACAAAGAAAAUAGUAUAUUUUCAAUAGAAUGUACUGCGCCGCGCACAACACUAUCUAACCAAAAUACAUUGUAUUGAAAGUGUUAUUAACCGCUCAAAAGAUUAUGAUACCAAAUAAACAUGAAAUUUAUCAAAAAAAGGAGUAGGUCCGGUAAGGACCGAUUUUGGCCUCAAAUUUCAGGUUCAUCUGACAAAAGAUUUUGACCACUUUUUAAACACUUAAGUGUCUAUUUUAUUUGAAUUAAUUAGUUUAUGUGAAAGAUUUUAACAGAUUUAGUCAUUAAAAACAAUCCGAUUCAAGCUCAAAUAUGAAAAAUCUACCUAAUAUGCUGAAAAAUGUCACUUUUCAGAUGGGUUUUGGUAAAAAUGAAAGUGGCCGCAUCCGUGUU
Molecule: long non-coding RNA, 452 nt
Filed under: Mytilus galloprovincialis (Mediterranean mussel)
Lineage: Eukaryota; Metazoa; Mollusca; Bivalvia; Mytilida; Mytilidae
Source: RNAcentral